GACGAACGCUGGCGGCGUGCUUAACACAUGCAAGUCGAACGGAAAGGCCCUGCUUUUGUGGGGUGCUCGAGUGGCGAACGGGUGAGUAACACGUGAGUAACCUGCCCUUGACUUUGGGAUAACUUCAGGAAACUGGGGCUAAUACCGGAUAGGAGCUCCUGCUGCAUGGUGGGGGUUGGAAAGUUUCGGCGGUUGGGGAUGGACUCGCGGCUUAUCAGCUUGUUGGUGGGGUAGUGGCUUACCAAGGCUUUGACGGGUAGCCGGCCUGAGAGGGUGACCGGCCACAUGGGGACUGGGAUACGGCCCAGACUCCUACGGGAGGCAGCAGUGGGGAAUAUUGCACAAUGGGCGGAAGCCUGAUGCAGCAACGCCGCGUGCGGGAUGACGGCCUUCGGGUUGUAAACCGCUUUCGCCUGUGACGAAGCGUGAGUGACGGUAAUGGGUAAAGAAGCACCGGCUAACUACGUG
This 468-nucleotide ribosomal RNA is filed under the name uncultured bacterium. Its description in RNAcentral is "partial 16S ribosomal RNA". It matches the Rfam family "Bacterial small subunit ribosomal RNA", at positions 28 to 507 of the family's 1533-position model. The record is from RNAcentral.